RNAcentral lists this ribosomal RNA (465 nucleotides) under uncultured bacterium. RNAcentral describes it as "bacterial SSU rRNA". It matches the Rfam family "Bacterial small subunit ribosomal RNA", at positions 28 to 510 of the family's 1533-position model. The record is from RNAcentral.
GACGAACGCUGGCGGCGUGCUUCAUACAUGCAAGUCGAACGAGAAGCUAGAGCUUGCUCUAGUGGAAAGUGGCGGACGGGUGAGUAAUAUGUAGGAAAUCUGCCCUAGAGAGGGGGACAACAGAAGGAAACUUCUGCUAAUACCCCAUAUGAGCUUGGUUGAAAUACCAAUCUUGAAAACUCCGGUGCUCUAGGAUGAGCCUGCACCUGAUUAGCUUGUUGGUGGUGUAAUGGACUACCAAGGCGACGAUCAGUAGCUGGUUUGAGAGGAUGAUCAGCCACAAUGGGACUGAGACACGGCCCAUACUCCUACGGGAGGCAGCAGUAGGGAAUUUUGCGCAAUGGGCGAAAGCCUGACGCAGCAACGCCGCGUGUGUGAUGACGCCCUUCGGGGUGUAAACGAACUGUCAGUAGGGACGAAUUUGUACGGUACCUACAGAGGAAGCACCGGACUAACUCCGUGCCA